GUGCUGCAUGGCUGUCGUCAGCUCGUGUUGUGAAAUGUUGGGUUAAGUCCCGCAACGAGCGCAACCCUUAUCCUUUGUUGCCAGCGGUCCGGCCGGGAACUCAAAGGAGACUGCCAGUGAUAAACUGGAGGAAGGUGGGGAUGACGUCAAGUCAUCAUGGCCCUUACGACCAGGGCUACACACGUGCUACAAUGGCGCAUACAAAGAGAAGCGACCUCGCGAGAGCAAGCGGACCUCAUAAAGUGCGUCGUAGUCCGGAUUGGAGUCUGCAACUCGACUCCAUGAAGUCGGAAUCGCUAGUAAUCGUGGAUCAGAAUGCCACGGUGAAUACGUUCCCGGGCCUUGUACACACCGCCCGUCACACCAUG
RNAcentral lists this ribosomal RNA (368 nucleotides) under Shigella flexneri. RNAcentral describes it as "bacterial SSU rRNA". It matches the Rfam family "Bacterial small subunit ribosomal RNA", at positions 1038 to 1406 of the family's 1533-position model. The record is from RNAcentral. Lineage: Bacteria; Pseudomonadati; Pseudomonadota; Gammaproteobacteria; Enterobacterales; Enterobacteriaceae.